RNAcentral lists this ribosomal RNA (508 nucleotides) under uncultured bacterium. RNAcentral describes it as "partial 16S ribosomal RNA". It matches the Rfam family "Bacterial small subunit ribosomal RNA", at positions 28 to 523 of the family's 1533-position model. The record is from RNAcentral.
GAUGAACGCUAGCUACAGGCUUAACACAUGCAAGUCGAGGGGAAACGACAUCGAAAGCUUGCUUUUGAUGGGCGUCGACCGGCGCACGGGUGAGUAACGCGUAUCCAACCUGCCCACCACUUGGGGAUAACCUUGCGAAAGUAAGACUAAUACCCAAUGACGUCUCUAGAAGACAUCUGAAAGAGAUUAAAGAUUUAUCGGUGAUGGAUGGGUAUGCGUCUGAUUAGCUUGUUGGCGGGGUAACGGCCCACCAAGGCGAAGAUCAGUAAGGGUUCUGGGAGGAAGGGCCCCCACAUUAGAACUGAGACACGUUCCAAACUCCUAGGGGAGGCAGCAGUGAGGAAUAUUGGUCAAUGGGAGAGAGCCUGAACCAGCCAAGUAGCGUGCAGGAUGACGGCCCUAUGGGUUGUAAACUGCUUUUAUAAGGGAAUAAAGUGAGUCUCGUGAGACUUUUUGCAUGUACCUUAUGAAUAAGGACCGGCUAAUUCCGUGCCAGCCGCCGCAGUAA